ACCAGCUGGUGGGGGGAGAGGAGGCUGUGACGCAGGCGCGCACGCUCAGGGGGCGGAGCCGCGCCGGGCCGAGAGGCUGCGGGCGCCCGGGAGGACCAUGGCGGACCCACAGCCUGUGGGGCCCACAGGACAUACAUCUGCUGCCCCAGACACUGCUGGAGCCCCACCGCCAGGACCCAGCCCCACUGUGCCCCCCGCGGGACCCAGCACCCACCCCACCACCGGGCCCAGUGCCCACCCCACCACUGGGCCUGGCACCCGCCUCGCCACAGGGCCCAGCACACAGCCCACUGUGGAGUCCAGCACACACCCCACCACAGAACCUGGCACCCAUCCCGCCCCUGGCCCAGGCACAGUGAGUGCUCCACUGGAUGACGUGCGCUUCAUGAUCGCCAGCACCAACUGGUACUAGUGGUGCUGCACAGCCCCAUGCCAUAGCCCCUUCCCCACAGGGGAAGCAGGUGGAGCUGGGAGCUCUGGGCAUGCAGACGCUGUGGAGAGCUCCUUUGGAGAGACCUUGCUUGAGUGCCAGUGCCGUGCAUCCCAGGGGAAACAAAGUGAUGUGUGAUCCCGGGGAGCUUCUGCUUCUGAUUGCCCAUGGAGGUAGAUUCUCCUUUGCAAGACAGCCCCAUAAUGGAGCUGUUUUGUUUCAAUAAAAGCAUGCUUUCCUGGGA
Molecule: long non-coding RNA, 674 nt
Organism: Rhea pennata
Lineage: Eukaryota; Metazoa; Chordata; Aves; Rheiformes; Rheidae
Exons: 2
Source: RefSeq, a predicted model, not a curated record